AGUAUAUAUUUCCGGUCAAGAAACUAAGGGCGCAAGGCGGAUGCCUUGGCACCAGGAGGCGAAGAAGGACGUGACAAGCAACGAAAACCUCGAGUAGGAGCAAAUA
This 106-nucleotide ribosomal RNA is filed under the name Finegoldia magna. Its description in RNAcentral is "partial 23S ribosomal RNA". The stretch from base 14 to 106 matches the Rfam family "Bacterial large subunit ribosomal RNA", at positions 1 to 94 of the family's 2925-position model. Lineage: Bacteria; Bacillati; Bacillota; Tissierellia; Tissierellales; Peptoniphilaceae. The record is from RNAcentral.